CCUUCCCUGAGAAUCACCUACCUUGACUUUAAAGAAGAACACAUUCUUCAGCUUUUAAAAACAUUCCACAGCUUCCCUCUGGAUUAAUCUCACAAGGAUCCCAUCAGAUGAACAGGAGGGUGAGGCAGGUACUUCCUGUCCUGUGAAGGGGACCUUGACUGGGGAGUUCUGAA
This 173-nucleotide long non-coding RNA is filed under the name Cricetulus griseus (Chinese hamster). RNAcentral describes it as "lncRNA (ENSCGRG00000024999.1)". Lineage: Eukaryota; Metazoa; Chordata; Mammalia; Rodentia; Cricetidae. The record is from RNAcentral.